CCUCCAUGUGUGAAAGCGAGUGCAGGGUCAUCUCCCCCUGCAGAUUUCAGCUCGCCUGGUCCUGAUCUCUCUCCCCUUCUCAGUCUUUCUUGCCACAUGAUCUUGGACAGGAAGAGAAAAUUUGCCUGGAGAGCAGAUUGGAAGGUUUGGCCGAAUCCCAAAAGACCACAUUUUCUAAGAUGAAUCUGGCCUGUUUCUGAAUACGCUUGAAAAUGUCGAGCAAGCUUCAUCAAUAAGACCUGCCCCUGAAUGCUAAGAAUAUCGAGUCUUCGCUACAGAGUACUGGCAUCAUAAACUGCUGUAAUAUUGACCUUGGGUGAUAUUGUGCCUAUCAGUUCGGAAGCGAUGCAGGACUUCCCCACAAACAAGGCAGUGGUUUCUGCAUACUUCAUGUUGAUGGGUUGGUAACUUGCAAGCUGUCUGACAGAUAGCCACCAUUUGUCAUGGCCAGUCAUGAUGGAAUAUGUGGAAGAGAAGGAGACACCAAUUCCAAGUGCCCAUUUCUAGGGCAACCCAUAAUAAGAGAGGCUUUCAAAGAUCAGCUGCUGAGUGGUUGGUUCCCAAAGAUCAAAUCCCACUUGAAGAGUCCAUAAAAGACGUAGGACUUGUACGAUAACUCUGCGAUCCCCCCCAAAAUGGAUUCCGUCUGAUUUCACAUUUCUGGACCAAGAAGAAAGAUGCCGCGGGAUGCUGUAGCAGUGUCCUACAUUGAGGAGGGGGGGGUCAAUCUAGAAGAUCUCCAAGACCCCUUCCAAUUCUGAAAUCCUGUCAUUCUAAGCACUGGGAAAUUUACUGGCCGAGGGAAAGCGCCCCUAUCUCUCAGACUGGCUCCAAGGAUGCUGUUCAACUCUUCUACAAGCUGUCAAACUAACAACAACAAAAAAGCUCUAUCGCCUCCUCUUCUCUGUGAUGUGAUUUGUGACUGGUUGGAGGAAAAACCUGGAGCAAGCUGGCUGGAACACACAGGAAAAAGAUCUUCCAGAGAUUCCAGAGGCGACCCUACGUGGACUGUCCAUUUAAUCCCCCAAAUUAAACAUCUUGCGAAUCUGCUGCGAAGCAAACUUGUGUGAAUAACUCCCAGAUAAUCUCAAUGGGCGAAGAAAACAUUCUC
Molecule: long non-coding RNA, 1111 nt
Organism: Hemicordylus capensis (graceful crag lizard)
Lineage: Eukaryota; Metazoa; Chordata; Lepidosauria; Squamata; Cordylidae
Exons: 5
Source: RefSeq, a predicted model, not a curated record